Molecule: ribosomal RNA, 497 nt
Filed under: uncultured bacterium
Lineage: Bacteria
Description: partial 16S ribosomal RNA
Rfam family: Bacterial small subunit ribosomal RNA
Source: RNAcentral
GGGGGGGGGGGGGGGGGGGGCUGGGGGAUGGAGGGGGGGGGGGGCGGCGGGGAGCUGGCUCCUCGGCCGGGAGCGGCGGACGGGUGAGUAAGACGUGGGUAAGCUACCUGUAAGACGGGGCUAAAUUCGGGAAACCGGCGCUAGUACCGGAUAGUCUAUUGAACCGCAUGGUUCACUAGUGAAAGACGGUGUUGCAUUCACUUAUAGAUUGAUCCGCGCCGAAUUAGCUAGUUGGUCUGGGAACGGCUUACCAAGGCACCGAUGCGUACACGACCUGCGAUGGUCAGCGGCCACUCUGGAAACGAGACACGGUCCAGACUCCUACGGGAGGCCGCAGUAGGGAAUCUUCCGCAAUGGGAGAAAGCCUGACGGAGCAACGCCGCGUGAGUGAUGAAGGUCUUCGGAUCGUAAAACUCUGUUAUUAGGGAAGAACAAAUGUGUAAGUAACUAUGCACGUCUUGACGGUACCUAAUCAGAAAGCCACGGCUAACUACGUG